CACGGCUACUGUAGCGCUAACCAACGCAGCUGCAACGGUCAACUGCUUUCACACAAGCGUGUUGUAACUUAAGGCGAGCCGCGGGAAAGUAACCAGCGGAGCCGCCAGAGGAAUCUAAGAUUCUCGCCACUCUUACAACCGCCGCCAGGUUCUCACCGGUACUACAAUCUCACCCUAACGAGCUGCCGUACGCCUCCCGCAGAAGCGCGACGUCCUUUCAAAUGGACCACCCCAUGUGGCUACGCCGUGCCGCCGCCAGUGUAAUCGUCGGCUCACCGAACGGCGGUGGUUCCUUCCCUCGUUACAAUUCCACCAAUGGCAGCUACAGCUACAGCCACUGCUACAGUCCCGUCGACGUCAACGAGGCGCUCAUGGAGGCCGCUACCUGGUCGUGCACACGCAACUCGGCUCCGCUACAGCCUGCCGCCGCCGCCGCCGCCGCUGCCGCGGCGGCGGCUGCUGCUCCCGUUGCUCCAGCCGACCCCGCCGGCGCCGUCUCCGGCGCUUCAGCGCCUCUCCUCUCCAAGCUUAAACUCCGCUCCCCUUUCCGCAGCCGGAGAGAGACGAUCGACGGCAGCGACCAUAGCAGCCUUGGCCGCCGUCGUCAUUACCAGUACCUGCAGCAGGACCGGCAAUACAACAGGGACCCGGAAGCCGGGAGACCAACAUCGGGCUUGGAGGUAUCUGGGCGGGCGGUGACAGGCGGCUCGGGUGCAGGGAUCUUCAUGCUCGGCAGCCGGAGCCCCGUCAUGGCGUUCGGUGGAGGAGGGGCCGUGUGGCCGCAACAAAGCCGCGACACCGACGGCGGAAUCGUGCUUGGGAGCGACGGCGAGGCCGAGGGCGAGGGCGACGGCGACGGCAGCGAAAUCGGCGUCGGUGUCGGCGUCGGCGGGGAUGGAGUGCCGUCGUGGUCAGCAACGAUGACGGGCAAGAGGUCCAGGAGCCCAAUGCCGGAGGGGGCGUCCCAGGGUCCGGCCUCGGCGGUUCGAAGGGAAGUUCAAGAACGACAGGAUCGCCUCGUUGGGGAGGUAAGUACGUGUAGUAGCUGGCCGCUGAAAAGGCUUCCCGAGAUGCUGGUCAAGCGCUUUGCGCGUAUUUGUAGUUGUUGUGUGAGCCGUACUGUGUACCAUCUACUACAGUACGGCGUUGUUCGUAUGUAUGUAUAUGCCUUUCAGAUUUCCUCCUGGUUGCGAGCGGCUCUAGAGCGCAAGGCACAGGCUCAAAGCGGCAAGGUGCAGUCGGUGGGGGCACAGCUUCAGGCGGAGGCGGAGGCGGAGGCGGAGGCGGAGGCGGAGGCGGAGGCGGAGGCGGAGGCGGAGGCGGAGGCGGAGGCGGAGGCGGAGGCGGAGGCGGAGGCGGAGGCGGAGGCGGAGGCGGAGGCGGAGGCGGAGCUAGCCGCUAUUGUUACUGCUACUUUGCCUCCGGCGGCGUCAAUGGGGAGUUGACGUCAUAUGAUAUGUAUGUCCGGCCUCCCCUGGCUGCUGUGCCGUCGACGACGGCAACGUAUGUGCACCAGACCCUAUAUAGCUCCAGAUUUGGAUCUACACCCAGAUCCAGAUCCCAGAUCCAGGCCUAGGUCCAGGUUUAUGUUUCAAUCUGAUGCAAGAUCCAGGCCCGCCGUGGUUUCACAACUUGCCGAUAAGCAAGCAAGCUAGCUGGGCAACGUAGCCAGUUGCGCUGCUAAUAAGCUGGCGGCAUAGGCGAGAUAGUAACUUCUAUGCUGUUGUGGAAAGCAAAAGCUACGACCUUGCACCUUAGCUACUUGGUCACAUACCUCGUACAAUACUUAUAAACCUGCUUAUUAAUCCUCGUCCCCAAGCAGUUCGGCGGGCAGGGGAGGGCGUGCGCGUGCGCGUGGGCGUGUAGAUGAUAAAUACAUCGAUACGCCGCAGCUGCAAAUGCAGCAAGUGCGUACGUGCGCGUUUUACGUACUGGCCGUACGUAUGCGAUGAUAGUGCCUGCUGCAGGCUUGCUAGCAUGUUUGCACAUGUUUUUGAACCAGCUUCUCGCCGCUCGAGGAGGGAUAUGUGGCUAUGUGGCUAUGUAGGUGCGCGCACUCGGAGGUGUAGCGUUAUCUCGUAUAAUGAGCUGUUCAACAAUGCUCUGACACACCUGCUAGGCACAUCUAUCUAUACAUAUCUGUACAUAAGGAUUAUUUCUAUAUGAGUUAGUUGCCAUGCGAAUAUAUGUAUUUUGUUUCUCGCCCGCGCUCUCGCACUCUCUCGGCACACUUGCCUUCUCUUAAUCUCUCGCGAUCGAUCUCUUGCACGGGCGCAAGCUGCCGCUGGCGGAGUAUCGAUCCCCGUGGUUAAGUGAGUGCGUGGGUGCGGGAGUAUGCAUUCAUGCGAUGUCAGGCUGGCAGCAGAGGAUGGCUUCGGGCAAUAGACGAGAAUUCAUCAGUGAGGACACGGUCUUGCCAGAUGAGUCCACCGUACAUCAGCUCGUAAAGGAUUCAUUCUGUCGGACGGGCGUACUUCAUACUUCGUUUCGUACAUGGGUGUACGACAGGGUGUUACCAAGUGCACAGCUCGAAAUGUGCGCGUUGGGGCGGUUCGAAGCACAGGGGAGGGUUUCGGUAGAUAGCUAGGCGAAGCGGAGCGCGCGAGGACCCCAGCGGCGGCUGCCUUUGUCCGGAACAACAUAUACGUUUCUGCGGCUAAGGGAGCGAUGACCCCCAACCCUUAUCGCGAGAUCCCUUAACACAUGCUUCUCCGCAGUUCAUGGUCCCAGAACAAUCUUUCCUUUUCCUUUCGUUCUUCUUUUUUUCCUUAUGUAAGCGUAUGCGUAUGCAUGUAUGUAUGUGUGUAUGUCUGCGUGUUAUGAUGUAUGAUGGGUUAUUACAGUGGACUCGUGAACAGAUCGCCGGCGGUGCUGUGUCUGUUAUGCCCAUAUUUCCAAUAUCGUUCGGUGGGGGGGAGAGUAGGUGUGGCAAGGCUUGCAAAAGCAAGGACGUAGUAAGGUACAUGUAUGUUGUUGACGGGGGGUGUUACACUGUGGGCUUCUCACCCCGAGAAAGGACGAGCACCGGGGGCCCUGACCGGGGCCGAAACACAGCCACACAUGCUGUUAUUGUUAUUGUUGUUGUUGUUAUUGUUGUUGUUGUUGUUGCUGCUGUUACAGAGUGGAGGCUUCUGGGCCGAUUGAACACAUUUGUAUUGACAACAUAGGAUUGAACACCGUGCAACACCAUCUACCAUUACCACACUGCACUACGCCAUACAAACUGCAAGUCCAAGGCGGUUGAUUCUGCCUUCGCGCAACCAUUGCCCCCCGGAGAUCCCGGGAUCGAGACCUGUCAGGGCGGAGGGUAUAGCGCCCCUAGUUGAUGGACGGUGGUGACCUGGUAUAAAUUUAACCUACGAGCCGACCAGUAUUAGUGUUGGGCUGCUGUCGACCCGGCAGAUUCCGUUGGAUGCUGGUGGUGAGUGCGGAACCUGAGCGAUCCACUGAGAAGUUGACUAGGGUGACUGGAUGAGGGUGCCCCGAAAUACCGUGGAAGGCAGGGUUUCGCAGGGUAGCUGCCACGGGUGAAGAUAUAACCCCCCUGUUUCACACAUCAUGGGAGGAAUAUAUUCAAGGAAAUGCUUUGAACAGACCUGUAAGGAUAAUUUCUUCCUUUUUUGGCGUAGAUAUUAUGAAUCUUAAGGUCCAAGAUUAGGCAUGAAGAUACCUAUUAUACUAAUCCUAAUGGCUGGCAAAAAUCGCUGAUCAAAAUUGAGAGAAAUGAGAGAAAAGCCAGAAAACUUGAGGGAAUUCCAGUUAGAGCAUGAUUAAUCCUAGCAAAAGUAAGACUAUAUCAUUAAUUUGUGCAGGUAAAACUGUAGGUUUUCUGAGUUAUAUGGGAGAAAGCCAAGGUUUCUGUGUAUUUGCCGAGAGCGUACUGGGUUGGAUGCCGUUGGUGCGUACGGCUGGACCGUACAAGGCUAGAGUAAGCCCCAGGAGUGCAAAUUUAAUAUAACCAUUUGCAUGUAGGAAAUGUUUCUUGCCAACGCAGCAUGCAUGCAGGCAGGCAGAGGCAAAGGCAGGCUUAGCAGGCAGGCAGGCUGGCAUCAACCCCAGGGCGGGAGAAGCGGGGCCGCCCGCACAAGGUGAUGUAUGGUACGACAAGUAACGGGAUACGAAAACAGGUGCAAAAGGCUGCCAAUGUUUAAGUUUGCAAUGACGGAUGGUCUAGCCUUGCCAGGAUGAUUUUGUGAUAAGCGACGAGAGGAUGUAAUGUUGGAGUUACGGGCAACGCGAGGCAAGAGGGGGGGACCUGCGCGCGUCGCGUGACGCACUGUCAAGGUGGUGGUGGUAGUAAUGAUGGUGGUAGUAGUAAUAGUGGUGGUAGUAAUGGUUGUGGCGGUGGGUUGCGAGUACUGCGUAGCGGUGCAUGAGGUAAGAGGAUGCUCUAGUCGUCUAGCAGGGAGGAGCAGCAGCGGCAGCCAUACCAUACGUAGACCGACUGAGGCCGCCGUGCAAUAGUAGGGUGCGUAUAGUAGGGUGCGUAUUAUUGGAUCAAAAGGUGCAGAAGAACGAAAUGGAUUCAUGUGCAGUUCAGUUCAUUCAGCCUCAGCUUGGGGAGAUUCGAAGCUGCUUACGCGAGCAUGCAGUCUUGGCGCAGGAAGCCGGUUAAGAACAUCGCCAGAACAUCGCCAGAACAUCGCCCGUUAAGAAACUUCGCCAUAACUCGUUAUCAUAGCUCAAUUUCUACAUAAUGUCGAAUGUCAUGAUGCAGGAUAUGAAAAAAUGCGACCCGUAUUACUGCAUCCGUAUUACAGCACUAUGUUCAACAAUUGUAGCUCCGAACAACGACAUGUGUGUGUGUGGUUGUUACAGUGGGCUCCAGACUCACUAAGAGUAGAGCCAUCGGGCCAGCUGGCCGUGCACUGCACUAGAGACUAAUAUACAAUUUAGACAACAACCACCCAGAUGAGACAAGUAAACGCAAUGUUGGGGCUUACGCCCCUGCCUGACCAGUUAACAUCCUGUACG
RNAcentral lists this long non-coding RNA (4974 nucleotides) under Volvox carteri. RNAcentral's name for it is "long non-coding RNA (VCAR_LNC002456)". The record is from RNAcentral. Lineage: Eukaryota; Viridiplantae; Chlorophyta; Chlorophyceae; Chlamydomonadales; Volvocaceae.